This 356-nucleotide ribosomal RNA is filed under the name Mycena pura. RNAcentral describes it as "eukaryotic LSU rRNA". The stretch from base 1 to 105 matches the Rfam family "5.8S ribosomal RNA", at positions 50 to 154 of the family's 154-position model. The record is from RNAcentral. Lineage: Eukaryota; Fungi; Basidiomycota; Agaricomycetes; Agaricales; Mycenaceae.
GAAAUGCGAUAAGUAAUGUGAAUUGCAGAAUUCAGUGAAUCAUCGAAUCUUUGAACGCACCUUGCGCCCUUUGGUAUUCCGAAGGGCAUGCCUGUUUGAGUGUCAUUAAAUUCUCAACCUUGCAAGCUUGCUUGCGAGGCUUGGAUGUGAGGGUUUUUGCUGGCUUCCUUUAGUUGGAUGGUCUGCUCCCUUUAAAUUCAUUAGUGGGAUCCUUUGUGGAUGGUCACUUGGUGUGAUAAUUAUCUACGCCGUCUGACUCUGAAACAAGACUUGUGGGGACCUGCUUAUAACUGUCUUUUCGGAGACAAUCUUGACAAUUUGACCUCAAAUCAGGUAGGACUACCCGCUGAACUUAA